GGCCAACUAGCUCAGUCGGUAGAGCAUUGCAUUGCAUUAAACCUUCAGCUGAAAUACGUUAGCAUGCGAAGGUAUUGGGUUCGAUUCCCAAGUUGGCCA
This is a non-coding RNA of Gymnopus androsaceus JB14, 99 nucleotides long. Lineage: Eukaryota; Fungi; Basidiomycota; Agaricomycetes; Agaricales; Omphalotaceae. The record is from the annotation of a GenBank genome assembly.